GUGCAGCUGCCGUGACCUGCCACUGGCCCCAGGUGGCUACUAAGCACUUGAAAUGUGAUGAGUGGGAGUGGGAAAUAGAACUUUUCCAUUUUAUUUCACUUUAAUUUAUAAUUGAACUUAAAUAGUCACACUAGACUGGUGGUCAGUUCUAAGGCCUGAUGACAAGUGUAAAAGGACGCAUGGUCCAGGCCCAGGCCUAGCUCCUGGUCUCUUGCCUCAACCCCUCCUCUCCUACUUACCCUACAGUGUCUGGGCAGGGAAGCAGGCUCUGUCCACAGCCUAGCUCCAGAGGCACCUCUAAAAGGACAGAAGGUGGAUGGUGGGGCUCUCAGGGAACAGCACAGACACCAACUGGGGAGUGGGCACCAUAGACUCCAUAAUGCCUUGGGUCUGGAACCGCAGGCCUCUCCUCUGCCCUGUUCUAGAACUCCCCAACUGCUGUUUCCCCUAGCAACUCCUGAGGUUAUCCCUGGAAUGUCUGGGCAGGGGCUGUAAAAUUGGAACAGGUCCCCCCUGCAAUCCCUCAUGUGGUGGCAGAGACCCCUGAGGGGAUGUGCAGAGGGCCUUGGUUCUCGGCUGGGCUGUUGAGCUGGGCACUCAGGGAGUUUCGCAUAGCCACGAAGCUACUCUCUCAGGCUCCUCUGGCAGGGAGCGUCAGGAUGAGAAUCCAGACCUGACUGCCACCCAGCCCUCUCACUUUGCAGAUGCAAAAAUCCAGACUCAGAAAGGGAAGUAACUUCUCCAACAGGGCGGGGUCUGAAGCCCAGGGUCCCGACCCCACCAAGCUGGCCCUGCAGGAGCCUCCUGAGAGGUGUCUCGGGAGCAGACCCAGGGGAAGGGGGCACUGUGCACCCUUGCUGGGUAGGCAAAAGUCUGUCUGCUUCUUGGCAGCUGUGUGGCUUCAAAGGCCCGCCAGCAGGGACUGAAGACUGAGCAAGCCACCCCUCUCCUGUCCCAGACCCACCUGAACCCACCAAAGCUGGGAAAGGAGGGGUUGUGGAGACUCCAGAAAAACAGGAAAAACUUAAACACAAUCACUAAGUAAAGCAUCGUUAACUCCUGUUGUGCUGAGCCCACAAACCGCCCCAGCACUCACUGUUCUACUGUCUGUCGCUGUGCAUUUGACAACUCUAGGGACCUCAUCAUAUAAUCACGAAUGGAGUCUCCAUGAGGGCAGGGAUGUUGGUUGGCUGUAUCCUCGGGCUGGAAGAGCACCGGCACGCAGCAGGCACUGAAUAGAAUUUCUAAAUAUACAAACGGAUGAACCAAUGGAUGGAUGGAUGAAUGAAGACCCUGUAUAGGUCAGUGCCUCAAAUGUCUGUGCCUGGCCUGGAGUUAUGUCCUUCACCCCCACUGUAGACUAACUCCUGGUCCCACCCUACAGCUUGGGAACUGAAGCCCCAGGCCUACCAUCCCUGAGCGGUAGCGGUGCUCAGCGUGGCAGGAUGCCCCACUUGAUGGUAGGCUUCUCCCAGAUGGCUAAUUGCUUCGAGUCUUUCCCCCAGAUGUAACAUGUCUAUGGGAGGAUUAUGACAUGGGCAGAUGAGAGUCCCCAGCCAUGGAGGUGACAAUGGGCCCUGGAGCCUCACAGGGCCGCAGCCACCAGGAAGAGGCAUGGAGGCCAGGAAGGUCCUGGAACACCAGAAUUCGGCCAACAGAGCCUGAAGCCAGCACGUCGUGGAGGGGCAGCAGCCUGGGGGCAUUCAGGAGACCUGGAGAUGUGGCAGCUGGCCAGGAGCUGGGCUACAACCUUGACAAUCACUAACCUCUCAUCUCCUCAUCCUGCCAGGCUAUUUAUAGCCUCCCUCUCUCUGAAAACUCCUUCACCCAUUUUUCUGAGCUUAACAAGCUUGGUAAAUUGAAAUCAGGUGGACCACCUCCCCAACCUCAGCAAGCCUGCUGGGGUGACUGCACUCAGGCCAGGCCUGCUGGCAGCUCCUGCUCCAUGACAGGGACCCUUGAGGGCCUGCUGAGAGUCACAGGUUGGGGUGUCCCCAGGAAGGUGGCAUCUAAAGAGAGGGCAGCAGCUGGGCACGCAGGCAGACCUCAGCCAGAGAUGCUGGACAAUGGUGACCCCAGAAGGGCUCAGCUCACCCCAGGCCUCCUCCCUGCUUCAGGAAAAACAAACAGAUUGGGACAGUGGAAAAACAGCUGUACCUUUAAAUUAUCUGGCCCACAGAUAUGAAAAACAUUUGCAUGCUGAAGCUGUUUGCAUCUUCGGUUAUUUUUAGGGUGAACCCAGUUGCCUCCCCUUGGAACCGGAUGAAGCCCCAGAGGCACGUAGUCCUUUUUCCCAGACGGGGGUCCUGGUCCUGUUUCCCUGGGAAUAAGGCUUGAGCAUGAGCUCUCUGGGACCUAGUCCCCGACCAGAACCACACAGUGCAUUCAGGCUCGGGAGGAACUGGAGCACCAGGGAGCCAAGGCUGCAACUUUGAACAUUUGCCACUGCUGACAUCAUGGCCACCCACCUGGGGCCAGAAAGAGCCCCUCCGCUGCCCCCAGAGCAUGGGUGAAGAGAUGAACGCUUAGCCUACUGCCUCCUCUCAUGCCAGGCCCAGCUGAUGGGAAUAUUUUGCUGAGAUAUUUCUAGAGCCAGCAGCAAUUAAAGCAGAUUUUCUCUUCCACGCUCCUUCCCCAAAACAAGAAUAAAUCAGUCCUACCAAUUUCCCAGCUAAUGAUUUCCUCCAUUAAAUUAAAAAGAAGAAGAAAAUGUUUUCUUAAAUGGAUUACCAGCCCUGUGCUUUCAGAGACCAUGUGACCUGUCAACUCCUUUUAAAGUCUGAUACAUCAAAGUCCCUGAAUUAAUUUUUAAUAAAUAAAAAAGUCAUAGUCUAAGAAGCACCAUCCCACACACCCCCCUCCCCUGUCAAGGGUCAGCUCUGAGCUGAC
Molecule: long non-coding RNA, 2889 nt
Organism: Nomascus leucogenys (northern white-cheeked gibbon)
Lineage: Eukaryota; Metazoa; Chordata; Mammalia; Primates; Hylobatidae
Exons: 3
Source: RefSeq, a predicted model, not a curated record